GAGGAGUGGAGAGGAGACUGGAAUACUUGGUGUAGCAGUGAAAUGCGUAGAGAUCGUGAGGAAGACCAGUGGCGAAGGCGGAUCUCUGGACAGUUCCUGACGCUGAGGCGCGAAGGCCAGGGGAGCAAACGGGAUUAGAUACCCCGGUAGUCCUGGCAGUAAACGGUGCACGUUUGGUGUGCGCGGAUUCGACCCCGUGCGUGCCGGAGCUAACGCGUUAAACGUGCCGCCUGAGGAGUACGGUCGCAAGAUUAAAACUCAAAGAAAUUGACGGGGGCCCGCACAAGCGGUGGAGUAUGUGGCUUAAUUCGAUGCAACGCGAAGAACCUUACCUGGGCUUGACAUGCAUCGUGUCGCCGGUGAAAGCCGGCUAGUGUAGCAAUACACGCUUUGCACAGGUGCUGCAUGGCUGUCGUCAGCUCGUGUCGUGAGAUGUUGGGUUAAGUCCCGCAACGAGCGCAACCCUUGUGAACUGUUGCUACCCAGCACUUCGGUGUUGGGGCACUCUGUUCAGACUGCCCUGUGAAACGGGGAGGAAGGUGGGGACGACGUCAAGUCAGGAUGGCCCUUACGCCCAGGGCUGCACACGUACUACAAUGCUCAGUACAGAACGAACCGAAAUCGCGAGGUGGAGGAAAUCACUAAAACUGAGCCCAGUUCGGAUUGUAGGCUGCAACUCGCCUACAUGAAGCCGGAAUCGCUAGUAAUGGCGUAUCAGCUACGACGCCGUGAAUACGUUCCCGGGCCUUGUACACACCGCCCGUCACAUCAUGGGAGUCGCUUGUACCCGAAGUGUCUGUGCUAACCGCAAGGAGGCAGGGCCCUAAGG
This 829-nucleotide ribosomal RNA is filed under the name uncultured bacterium. RNAcentral describes it as "bacterial SSU rRNA". It matches the Rfam family "Bacterial small subunit ribosomal RNA", at positions 644 to 1462 of the family's 1533-position model. The record is from RNAcentral.